CAACUUUCAACAAUGGAUCUCUUGGCUCCGGCAUCGAUGAAGAACGCAGCGAAAUGCGAUAGCUAGCGUGAAUUGCAGAUUUCAGUGAAUCAUCGAGUCUUUGAACGCACAUUGCGCCCCAGGGAAAUGCUCUGGGGCACGCCUGUUCGAGCGUCAUAU
RNAcentral lists this ribosomal RNA (159 nucleotides) under Macrovalsaria megalospora. Its description in RNAcentral is "5.8S ribosomal RNA". It matches the Rfam family "5.8S ribosomal RNA". Rfam says of the family: 5.8S ribosomal RNA (5.8S rRNA) is a component of the large subunit of the eukaryotic ribosome. It is transcribed by RNA polymerase I as part of the 45S precursor that also contains 18S and 28S rRNA. Lineage: Eukaryota; Fungi; Ascomycota; Dothideomycetes; Dothideales. The record is from RNAcentral.